AACGCACAUUGCGCCCGGCGGCAUUCCGCCGGGCAUGCCUGUUCGAGCGUCAUUUCACUCUCAAGCUCCGCUUGGUCUUGGGGGCUGCCGUCGGCACCUCCGCAACCAGUUGGCGGGACCCGCAGCCUGCGACGAGCAAAUUCGUCGGCGGGUCCAGGGCCCUCGCCAGAUGACGACCCCUCGAGCUUGACCUCGGAUCAGGUAGGGAUACCCGCUGAACUUAA
Molecule: unclassified non-coding RNA, 224 nt
Filed under: uncultured Ascomycota
Lineage: Eukaryota; Fungi; Ascomycota
Description: sequence contains 5.8S rRNA gene, ITS2, 28S rRNA gene
Source: RNAcentral